This 614-nucleotide small RNA is filed under the name Pongo abelii (Sumatran orangutan). RNAcentral's name for it is "retained intron". The record is from RNAcentral. Lineage: Eukaryota; Metazoa; Chordata; Mammalia; Primates; Hominidae.
GCUUUCUGGGAUCUGGCUACGGCAGAAAAGACAUCGGCUCCAACAAGGGUGUUCCACAGGGUAGCUGGGAGUUGGAAGAGCCAAGAACGCCUCCGAGCUCUGGAUUUGAGCUUCUCUGCCCAUGGGUGCAGCAUCCAUGCUCAGCUUGUGAGCUUCUUCCCGGGAGAGCAGCCAUGGCACUGAGGAAUGUGCCCUUUCGCUCAGAGGUCCUGGGCUGGGACCCCGACAGCCUUGCUGACUAUUUCAAGAAGCUCAACUAUAAGGACUGUGAGAAGGCAGUGAAGAAGUACCACAUCGAUGGGGCUCGCUUCUUGAACCUGACAGAAAAUGACAUCCAGAAGUUCCCCAAGCUCCGGGUGCCGUAAGUACUCCUCCAACUCUAUGGGUGAUCUGGGAGCAGAGGUGGGAAUGGGGAGUAGUGUGAGUGGGGGCUGGGUCAGUUCUAUGUCAUUGUUGGCUUGAAAUAAGAAAGCAAGUAGGAAGGAUGAGGGCAAGGGCAGGAUGUGGGGAACAGAAGUUACAUGAAGAGCUGGAAAACAGAAGUCACAGAUCCAGCCCAGCUGGUGACCUGGGUGCUGUUGCCAAAAACAAGCCCAACUCUGGCCCAUGUUUUC